GUAAUGUUUACCUGGUAUUUUAUUGCUUUUAUCGUAACGGACUCUUAAUCCGAAGGUCCGGGGUUCGAAACCCCGCCGGUCCACCA
Molecule: transfer RNA, 86 nt
Filed under: Coriobacteriia bacterium
Lineage: Bacteria; Bacillati; Actinomycetota; Coriobacteriia
Also listed under: 1 other name
Description: tRNA-Lys
Source: RNAcentral